This 1244-nucleotide ribosomal RNA is filed under the name metagenome. Its description in RNAcentral is "bacterial LSU rRNA". It matches the Rfam family "Bacterial large subunit ribosomal RNA", at positions 1564 to 2817 of the family's 2925-position model. The record is from RNAcentral.
UGAGUACAAGAUGCUACGGCAUUGAAGCAGUCUAUGUCAUACUUCCAAGAAAAGCUUGCAAUGUCAUAAACAAAUAAUGCCUGUACCAUAACCGACACAGGUGGGUAGGUAGAGUAUACUAAGGGGCGCGAGAUAACUCUCUCUAAGGAACUCGGCAAAAUGACUCCGUAACUUCGGGAGAAGGAGUACCUUAUUUUAUAAGGUUGCAAUAACAAGGUCCAAGCAACUGUUUACCAAAAACACAGGUCUCCGCUAAGUCGUAAGACGAUGUAUGGGGGCUGACGCCUGCCCAGUGCCAGAAGGUUAAAGAAGUUGGUUAGCAUUAGCGAAGCUGAUAACUGAAGCCCUGGUGAACGGCGGCCGUAACAAUAACGGUCCUAAGGUAGCGAAAUUCCUUGUCGGGUAAGUUCCGACCCGCACGAAAGGCGUAAUGAUUUGGAUACUGUCUCGGAGAGGGGCUCGGUGAAAUAGACUUGUCUGUGAAGAUGCGGACUACCUGCACCUGGACAGAAAGACCCUAUGAAGCUUUACUGUAACUUGAGAUUGAAAUUGGACUUUAUUUGCGCAGUAUAGGUGGGAGACCUCGAAAGUAUUCUUGCGGGAAUAUUGGAGUCAUCAGUGAGAUACCACUCUUAUAAUGUUAGAUUUCUAACUUUGUAUCAUUAUCUGGUCAAAGAACAGUUUCAGGCGGGCAGUUUGACUGGGGCGGUCGCCUCCCAAAUGGUAACGGAGGCGCACAAAGGUUUCCUCUGAACGUGUAGAAAUCGUAUCUAGAGUGUAAAGGCAUAAGGAAGCUUGACUGUGAGACCUACAAGUCGAGCAGGGACGAAAGUCGGUCUUAGUGAUCUGACGGUGCUGAGUGGAAAGGCCGUCACUCAACGGAUAAAAGUUACUCUAGGAUAACAGGCUGAUCUCCCCCAAGAGUUCACAUCGACGGGGAGGUUUGGCACCUCGAUGUCGGCUCAUCGCAUCCUGGGGCGGUAGUACGUCCCAAGGGUUGGGCUGUUCGCCCAUGAAAGCGGUACGCGAGCUGGGUUCAGAACGUCGUGAGACAGUUCGGUCCAUAUCCGGUGUAGGCGUUAGAAUAUUGAGAGGAGCCUUCUUUAGUACGAGAGGACCGAGAAGGACAUACCUCUGGUGUACCAGUUAUCGUGCCAACGGUAAACGCUGGGUAGCUAUGUAUGGAGAGGAUAACCGCUGAAAGCAUCUAAGUGGGAAGCCCACCUCAAGAUAAGUAUUCUCAU